CUACGGAGGGUGCAAGCGUUGCUCGGAAUCACUGGGCGUAAAGCGUACGCAGGCGGUUUACUAAGUCGGGUGUGAAAGCCCAGGGCUCAACCCUGGAACUGCAUUCGAAACUGGUAGACUUGAGUACGGGAGAGGAGAGCGGAAUUCCUGGUGUAGAGGUGAAAUUCGUAGAUAUCAGGAGGAACACCCGUGGCGAAAGCGGCUCUCUGGCCCGAUACUGACGCUCAUGUACGAAAGCGUGGGUAGCAAACAGGAUUAGAUACCCCGGUAGUCC
This 274-nucleotide ribosomal RNA is filed under the name uncultured bacterium. Its description in RNAcentral is "partial 16S ribosomal RNA". It matches the Rfam family "Bacterial small subunit ribosomal RNA", at positions 523 to 796 of the family's 1533-position model. The record is from RNAcentral.